GACGAACGCUGGCGGCGUGCUUAACACAUGCAAGUCGAACGGAAAGGCCCUGCUUUUGUGGGGUGCUCGAGUGGCGAACGGGUGAGUAACACGUGAGUAACCUGCCCUUGACUUUGGGAUAACUUCAGGAAACUGGGGCUAAUACCGGAUAGGAGCUCCUGCUGCAUGGUGGGGGUUGGAAAGUUUCGGCGGUUGGGGAUGGACUCGCGGCUUAUCAGCUUGUUGGUGGGGUAGUGGCUUACCAAGGCUUUGACGGGUAGCCGGCCUGAGAGGGUGACCGGCCACAUUGGGACUGAGAUACGGCCCAGACUGCUACGGGAGGCAGCAGUGGGAAAUAUUGCACAAUGGGCGGAAGCAUGAUGCAGCAACGCCGGGUGCGGGAUGACGGCCUUCGGGGUGUAAACCGCGUUCGCCUGUGACGAAGCGUGAGUGACGGUAAUGGGUAAAGAAGCAACGGCUAACUACGUG
RNAcentral lists this ribosomal RNA (468 nucleotides) under uncultured bacterium. Its description in RNAcentral is "partial 16S ribosomal RNA". It matches the Rfam family "Bacterial small subunit ribosomal RNA", at positions 28 to 507 of the family's 1533-position model. The record is from RNAcentral.